Molecule: non-coding RNA, 95 nt
Organism: Mycena floridula
Lineage: Eukaryota; Fungi; Basidiomycota; Agaricomycetes; Agaricales; Mycenaceae
Source: the annotation of a GenBank genome assembly
UCUUCGAUGGUGUAGUUGGUUUUGGCAUUUGUCUAACAUGUAAAAGAUUAUGUGCUAUACACAGAAGGUCCUCAGUUCAAAUCGGUGUUGCAUUA